RNAcentral lists this ribosomal RNA (485 nucleotides) under uncultured bacterium. RNAcentral's name for it is "partial 16S ribosomal RNA". It matches the Rfam family "Bacterial small subunit ribosomal RNA", at positions 28 to 507 of the family's 1533-position model. The record is from RNAcentral.
GAUGAACGCUCGCUACAGGCUUAACACAUGCAAGUCGGGGGGCAGCAUGACCUAGCAAUAGGUUGAUGGCGACCGGCGCACGGGUGAGUAACACGUAUCCAACCUGCCGAUUAUUCCGGGAUAGCCUUUCGAAAGAAAGAUUAAUACUGGAUAGCAUAACGAGAAGGCAUCUUCUUGUUAUUAAAGAAUUUCGAUAAUCGAUGGGGAUGCGUUCCAUUAGUUUGUUGGCGGGGUAACGGCCCACCAAGACAUCGAUGGAUAGGGGUUCUGAGAGGAAGGUCCCCCACAUUGGAACUGAGACACGGUCCAAACUCCUACGGGAGGCAGCAGUGAGGAAUAUUGGUCAAUGGACGAGAGUCUGAACCAGCCAAGUAGCGUGAAGGAUGACUGCCCUAUGGGUGGUAAACUUCUUUUAUAUGGGAAUAAAGUGGGCCACGUGUGGCUUUUUGUAUGUACCAUACGAAUAAGGAUCGGCUAACUCCGUG